This 509-nucleotide ribosomal RNA is filed under the name uncultured Lactobacillus sp. RNAcentral describes it as "bacterial SSU rRNA". It matches the Rfam family "Bacterial small subunit ribosomal RNA", at positions 56 to 526 of the family's 1533-position model. The record is from RNAcentral. Lineage: Bacteria; Bacillati; Bacillota; Bacilli; Lactobacillales; Lactobacillaceae.
AGCGAGUCUGCCUUGAAGAUCGGAGUGCUUGCACUCUGUGAACAAGAUACAGGCUAGCGGCGACGGGUGAGUAACACGUGGGUAACCUGCCCAAGAGAUCGGGAUAACACCUGGAAACAGAUGCUAAUACCGGAUAACAACAGAUGAUGCCUAUCAACUGUUUAAAAGAUGGUUCUGCUAUCACUCUUGGGAUGGGACCUGCGGUGCAUUAGCUAGUUGGGUAGGGUAACGGCCUACCAAGGCGAUGAUGCAUAGCCGAGUUUGAGAGACUGAUCGGCCACAUUGGGACUGAGACACGGCCCAAACUCCUACGGGAGGCAGCAGUAGGGGAAUCUUCCACAAUGGACGCAAGUCUGAUGGAGCAACGCCGCGUGAGUGAAGAAGGGUUUCGGCUCGUAAAGCUCUGUUGUUGGUGAAGAAGGACAGGGGGUAGUAACUGUACCUUUGUUUGACGGUAAUCAAUUAGAAAAGUCACGGGCUAACUACGUGCCCAGCAGCCGCGGGUAAAU